GACGAACGCUGGCGGCGUGCUUAACACAUGCAAGUCGAACGGACAGGCCCUGCUUUUGUUGGGUGCUCGAGUGGCGAACGGGUGAGUAACACGUGAGUAACCUGCCCUUGACUUUGGGAUAACUUCAGGAAACUGGGGCUAUACCGGCUAGUGACUCCUUCUACAUGGUGGUUGUUGGGAAGUUUCGGCGUUUGGGGAUGGACUUACGGCUUAUCUGUUUGUUGGUGGGGUAGUGGCUUGCCAAGGCUUUGCCGGGUAGCCGGCCUGAGCGGGUGACCGGGGACAAUGGGACUGAGAGACGGCGCAGAAGGCUACGGGAGGCAGCAGGGGGGAAUAUUGCACAAUGGGCGGAAGCGUGAGGCAGCAACGCCGCGUGCGGGAUGACGGGCUUCGAGUUGUAAACCGCUGUGGCCUGUGACGAAGCGGGAGUGACGGUAAUGGGUAAAGAAGCACCGGCUAACUACGUG
RNAcentral lists this ribosomal RNA (467 nucleotides) under uncultured bacterium. RNAcentral's name for it is "partial 16S ribosomal RNA". It matches the Rfam family "Bacterial small subunit ribosomal RNA", at positions 28 to 507 of the family's 1533-position model. The record is from RNAcentral.